This 336-nucleotide unclassified non-coding RNA is filed under the name soil metagenome. RNAcentral's name for it is "partial contains 5.8S ribosomal RNA, internal transcribed spacer 2, and large subunit ribosomal RNA". The stretch from base 1 to 120 matches the Rfam family "5.8S ribosomal RNA", at positions 35 to 154 of the family's 154-position model. The record is from RNAcentral.
GAUGAAGAACGUAGCGAAAUGCGAUAAGUAAUGUGAAUUGCAGAAUUCAGUGAAUCAUCGAAUAUUUGAACGCUCAUUGCGUCCGCCAGUAUUCUGGCGGGCAUGCCUGUUCGAGCGUCAUUUCAACCAUCAAGCCCCAGGCUUGUGUUGGGGACCUGCGGCUGCCGCAGGCCCUGAAAACCAGUGGCGGGCUCGCUGUCACACCGGGCGUAGUAGAUUUUAUCUCGCUCAGGGCGUGCUGCGGGUCCCGGCCGUUAAAAGCCUUUUUUUACCCAAGGUUGACCUCGGAUCAGGUAGGAAGACCCGCUGAACUUAAGCAUAUCAAUAAGCGGAGGA